GACGAACGCUGGCGGCGUGCCUAAUACAUGCAAGUAGAACGCUGAAGGAGGAGCUUGCUCUUCUGGACGAGUUGCGAACGGGUGAGUAACGCGUAGGUAACCUGCCUGGUAGCGGGGGAUAACUAUUGGAAACGAUAGCUAAUACCGCAUAACAGUAGAUGUUGCAUGACAUUUGCUUAAAAGGUGCAAUUGCACCACUACCAGAUGGACCUGCGUUGUAUUAGCUAGUUGGUGGGGUAACGGCUCACCAAGGCGACGAUACAUAGCCGACCUGAGAGGGGGAUCGGCCACACUGGGACUGAGACACGGCCCAGACUCCUACGGGAGGCAGCAGUAGGGAAUCUUCGGCAAUGGACGGAAGUCUGACCGAGCAACGCCGCGUGAGGGAAGAAGGUUUUCGGAUCGUAAAGCUCUGUUGUAAGAGAAGAACGAGUGUGAGAGUGGAAAGUUCACACUGUGACGGUAUCUUACCAGAAAGGGACGGCUAACUACGUG
This 495-nucleotide ribosomal RNA is filed under the name uncultured bacterium. RNAcentral describes it as "partial 16S ribosomal RNA". It matches the Rfam family "Bacterial small subunit ribosomal RNA", at positions 28 to 507 of the family's 1533-position model. The record is from RNAcentral.